GGCUGGUCCGAUGUAGUGGGUUAUCAGAAUUUACUAAUUUAGUGCCACUAAAGUUUGUAUACAAGCCCCCACUGCUAAAUUUGACUGGCAUUUA
RNAcentral lists this Y RNA (94 nucleotides) under Prolemur simus (greater bamboo lemur). RNAcentral describes it as "Y RNA (ENSPSMG00000001061.1)". It matches the Rfam family "Y RNA". Rfam says of the family: Y RNAs are components of the Ro ribonucleoprotein particle (Ro RNP), in association with Ro60 and La proteins. The record is from Rfam by way of RNAcentral. Lineage: Eukaryota; Metazoa; Chordata; Mammalia; Primates; Lemuridae.